UCUGGAUAAGGAGAUAUGGACGAUGCAAGUUGGGCUGGCGGAACAGCAACUUGAGACCCAACCCAAGCAUUUACAUUUCGGCCCAUAAGUAUAUUUUGACCCAUGAGGCCCAUUAAUGUUAACAUAUCUGGAAAAUUCAGUAAAUGGCUGAUCAUUUUACAUCUAGGAACUUCCAAAAUAUUAGAGAGAGAGAGAGAACUCCUAGGCUAAGAAAAGCCAUUUUGACCCAAAAUCGGAGCCCCGAAUUCCGAAGCUCGUGAAGAGAAGAGUGUUGUACGUUGCAUUGCCUUCAUUUUGAGCCAAAAUUCAGCUAAGAAGGAGAGUGGUGACUUGGUUGCUGCAUACUUAAGGUAUAUAUGCUCCUGUACAAGCUAAGAGGAAUUAUUUGACGAAGUGGACUUUGAUUGGUCUAUGGCGUAGAUGAUUUGAACUCCUCGAGUUGUGGUAGAACUUGUUGUGUGGUAAAACGCCAAGGUAAUGCGCGAGUUGAGGUAUGAAGAUGGCCAAUUGGAGUAGACUUUUUGGGAGCCCUUGUGAAGAUCACAUUUGCAUAUGCAUCUAGUUUUUGUAAAUUUUUGGGGACUUGUACAUGAUACAUGUGUGGCACUUACGUAUGAAAUUUUGAAGGCUUGUGGAAAACCAGACCAUGUGCUUGUAACUUAAACUUGAUGACUGGUUUUGCUAUUUUAGGGUGUGUUUUUUUUAACCCAAGUCAUGCCAUAUACUGAAUUUGUAUUUUGUCUUGUAAUUAUGUACAAAGGAUGAUAAUAGUUUUGUGAAAAUCACUAGUUUGAGUUUUGUGCAUAUUAUGGACCCGUAAUGGUGUUGAUUUGGAAAUAAAAUUUCAAAACGAAGCUUCUUAAAUGUGUUGACUAUUUGAGAAGGGAAUUACCAUUUUA
Lycium barbarum (goji berry) is the source of this 899-nucleotide long non-coding RNA. RefSeq lists it as uncharacterized. The record is from RefSeq and is a predicted model, not a curated record. The transcript has 3 exons. NCBI's taxonomy places the organism in Eukaryota, Viridiplantae, Streptophyta, Magnoliopsida, Solanales, Solanaceae.